This 574-nucleotide ribosomal RNA is filed under the name uncultured bacterium. RNAcentral describes it as "bacterial SSU rRNA". It matches the Rfam family "Bacterial small subunit ribosomal RNA", at positions 37 to 653 of the family's 1533-position model. The record is from RNAcentral.
UGGCGGUAUGCUUACACAUGCAAGUCGAACGAAAGUUUUUAACUUUAGUGGCGAACGGGUGCGUAAUACGUGAGAAUCUGCCCUUAGGAGAAGAAUAACUGCUGGAAACGGCUGCUAAAUCUUCAUAUGUCGAGAGAUGAAAUAGCUUAGGCUGCCUAAGGAUGAGCUCACGCCUGAUUAGCUAGUUGGUGAGGUAAUGGCUCACCAAGGCCACGAUCAGUAGCUGGUUUGAGAGAACGAUCAGCCACACUGGGACUGAGACACGGCCCAGACUCCUCCGGGAGGCAGCAGUGAGGAAUUUUCCGCAAUGGGCGAAAGCCUGACGGAGCAAUACCGCGUGAGGGAUGAAGGAUUUUGGUCUGUAAACCUCUUUUCUCAAGAAAGAAGUUCUGACGGUACUUGAGGAAUAAGCAUCGGCUAACUCCGUGCCAGCAGCCGCGGUAAUACGGGGGAUGCAAGCGUUAUCCGGAAUCAUUGGGCGUAAAGCGCCUGUAGGUUGUUUAAUAAGUCUGUUGUUAAAGACUAGGGCUUAACCCUAGAAAAGCAAUGGAAACUACUAGACUAAAGUAUGGCA